RNAcentral lists this ribosomal RNA (1475 nucleotides) under uncultured prokaryote. RNAcentral describes it as "partial 16S ribosomal RNA". It matches the Rfam family "Bacterial small subunit ribosomal RNA". The record is from RNAcentral.
AGAGUUUGAUCCUGGCUCAGAUUGAACGCUAGCGGCAUGCUUAACACAUGCAAGUCGAACGGUAACAGCAGAGCUUGCUCUGGCUGACGAGUGGCGGACGGGUGAGUAAUGCUUAGGAAUCUGCCCAGUAGCGGGGGACAACAUGUGGAAACGCAUGCUAAUACCGCAUACGCCCUACGGGGGAAAGCAGGGGAUCUUCGGACCUUGCACUAUUGGAUGAGCCUAAGUCAGAUUAGCUUGUUGGUGGGGUAAAAGCCUACCAAGGCGACGAUCUGUAGCUGGUCUGAGAGGACGAUCAGCCACACUGGAACUGAGACACGGUCCAGACUCCUACGGGAGGCAGCAGUGGGGAAUAUUGGACAAUGGGCGCAAGCCUGAUCCAGCAAUACCGCGUGUGUGAAGAAGGCCUUAGGGUUGUAAAGCACUUUCAGCAGUGAGGAAAAACUUAAGAUUAAUAACCUUAGGUCUUGACGUUAACUGCAGAAGAAGCACCGGCUAACUCCGUGCCAGCAGCCGCGGUAAUACGGGGGGUGCAAGCGUUAAUCGGAAUUACUGGGCGUAAAGCGCGCGUAGGCGGUUAGUUAAGUCAGAUGUGAAAGCCCCGGGCUCAACCUGGGAACUGCAUUUGAAACUGUUUAACUAGAGUGUGGUAGAGGAGAGUGGAAUUUCAGGUGUAGCGGUGAAAUGCGUAGAUAUCUGAAGGAACACCAGUGGCGAAGGCGGCUCUCUGGACCAACACUGACGCUGAGGUGCGAAAGCGUGGGUAGCAAACGGGAUUAGAUACCCCGGUAGUCCACGCCGUUUGGGCGGGUUUCCGCUUAGUGGUGCAGCUAACGCAAUAAGUUGACCGCCUGGGGAGUACGGCCGCAAGGCUAAAACUCAAAUGAAUUGACGGGGGCCCGCACAAGCGGUGGAGCAUGUGGUUUAAUUCGAUGCAACGCGAAGAACCUUACCUACCCUUGACAUACAGAGAACUUUCUAGAGAUAGAUUGGUGCCUUCGGGAACUCUGAUACAGGUGCUGCAUGGCUGUCGUCAGCUCGUGUCGUGAGAUGUUGGGUUAAGUCCCGUAACGAGCGCAACCCUUAUCCUUAGUUGCUACCAUUUAGUUGGGCACUCUAAGGAGACUGCCGGUGAUAAACCGGAGGAAGGUGGGGACGACGUCAAGUCAUCAUGGCCCUUAUGGGUAGGGCUACACACGUGCUACAAUGGCCGGUACAGAGGGCUGCGAACUCGCGAGAGUAAGCCAAUCCCUUAAAGCCGGUCCUAGUCCGGAUUGCAGUCUGCAACUCGACUGCAUGAAGCUGGAAUCGCUAGUAAUCGCGGAUCAGAAUGCCGCGGUGAAUUCGUUCCCGGGCCUUGUACACACCGCCCGUCACACCAUGGGAGUGGGUUGCAAAAGAAGUGGGUAGACUAACCUUCGGGAGGUCGCUCACCACUUUGUGAUUCAUGACUGGGGUGAAGUCGUAACAAGGUA